GAUUGUUGUUAGGAAAAAACACGUAAUUUUCUCAUUUACGAUACAUUUUUCUAAAAACCGUAGAGUGGCGCCACUGCAGUAUUUGUUUGGUCGACAUACCACGUUGGUUGUAGUGAAUGCACCUUGCAGUAAGGCGGUAUUUGAGUUAUAUUUUAGAAGUGCCUAGACAAAAUCUGCUCCUUGUCGUGUGCAGUAACCAUCGCAAACCCUCCGGACUUGUGUAACGCCGUUAGUUCGCCGUGUGUUUCGUGCGAUCUACCAGUGUCGACAGUGAGUGUCUUACUACAGCGCCCGUCCGAGCUGCCUUUGUUCUGCCGAGCUGCCUGCCCGCGCUCUCGUGAAAAGUCUGGUACUGGAGCUUCGAAUCGUAGUGUAUGGAAGACUGUUGAAGGUUGUGCUUUUGUGGAGCUGGAGUUCAUCGGAAGUUCUACAGUGCUUGCGCCAGAAAAACGUCGGUGCCUCGGUACCUUUGAGACGAAGGAGCGUUGGCCAAGUCUUUUUGAAAGGCUAUGCGGAUUCUGGAGGCAUCCCUACAUCAAGCAGGAACCUGCUGCACUGCUGGAAGCUGGACAGCACGACAAUAAAGCACGUGAUCUGUGUGCUUUCUCAAAGGUAGACAUCGGCGACGGUGUAUAUGUUGAAAAGUGCCUGCUGAAGAGGCUGCGCCUGGAUGCUAACAACUCAGGCUUUCAGUUCGCGGGGGGCCUCCUUAAGGCUCCUUUUACAAAAGAAGAGGUUGAAGGGAGGCGCUACACAUGGAUGCGCAGCGAUUGUUUGUGACAUCGUCACUGCUGGCAGGCCUGGCCUGCCUUUUCGCUUCGUUCUGGGUCUUCCACGUUAUCUACUCGAAAACGCCCACAGGGUUUUGACAUUUAUUGAGCACUGCUUUCUGGAUUUGAGCUACACAAAGCUGCAGGUGAAAGCAUUGGAUUUAGUCAAUAUUUACUAGAACUAUUGCUAGGCAAAAAAAUUUUCAGAUGCAUAUCCUCAAGAAAGUUUCUGUAAAAAUUAUUUUGCCUAACAAAAGCACUCGUGGGUUCUGUGGCUGGCAGCUUGCCCAAGCCAUGUAGCACAGUGCUUGCUUUAAAGGGACACGAAAGGG
This 1102-nucleotide long non-coding RNA is filed under the name Dermacentor andersoni. RNAcentral's name for it is "uncharacterized LOC126537083". Lineage: Eukaryota; Metazoa; Arthropoda; Arachnida; Ixodida; Ixodidae. The record is from RNAcentral.